UACGGGGGGGGCAAGCGUUGUUCGGAAUUACUGGGCGUAAAGGGCUCGUAGGCGGCCAACUAAGUCAGACGUGAAAUCCCUCGGCUUAACCGGGAACUGCGUCUGAUACUGGAUGGCUUGAGGUUGGGAGAGGGAUGCGGAAUUCCAGGUGUAGCGGUGAAAUGCGUAGAUAUCUGGAGGAACACCGGUGGCGAAGGCGGCAUCCUGGACCAAUUCUGACGCUGAGGAGCGAAAGCCAGGGGAGCAAACGGG
RNAcentral lists this ribosomal RNA (252 nucleotides) under uncultured bacterium. RNAcentral's name for it is "partial 16S ribosomal RNA". It matches the Rfam family "Bacterial small subunit ribosomal RNA", at positions 524 to 776 of the family's 1533-position model. The record is from RNAcentral.